UCAACAUCUUACUUUCAAAAUCUUAGCUUGCGGUCAUCAUCAUGAAUCAAUUCGACAAUCUACUUGCAAAUCCUUUUUAAUACUUGUCAUAUGAAGAGAAACAAUGAAGAUAAACUAUAGAUAAAAUGUAUCAGUGCUCAUCGGCCAUUGGACAUAAACAUUACAAAACUAUUGGAAAUCGCAAAUUCAACGAUGAGUGGUUUGGAAGGAAUCGGUUACAGUGGCUAACUGCAAGCACUGUAACUGGGACGUCGGGAAUAAACGAGCUCAGACUGGGAAAAUAUGUUUUAAACGGUCAUCCAAAUCCAACUAGGAAUUGUAAAUCCGUCCUCUUUCUCUUUCCUUGAUGACAAAAUGUGACCACAAAGGACUGCCGCGCCACCUUCCUGUUCAAGUGAGCACAUCACAACAAGCCAUUUCAACAGCCAUCACCAUGCAUACAUGGUUCAACACAGUCAACAAUGGAUUGCUAUACGGCCCGGUGGGUGAGGAGAUCGAUUUCCAUGGGAUAGAGGGAUACAGGGUCUCAGCGGGAAGAGUGUCCAUUUCACUCCACCACUGGAUUGCAAACCGUGAUCGUUUUGGACCACGUUGAUGGAGAGACGUUGAUGUCAUUGGACCAAAAAAU
Molecule: long non-coding RNA, 628 nt
Filed under: Salmo salar (Atlantic salmon)
Lineage: Eukaryota; Metazoa; Chordata; Actinopteri; Salmoniformes; Salmonidae
Description: lncRNA (ENSSSAG00000088166.1, ENSSSAG00000116856.1)
Source: RNAcentral